UACGGAGGGUGCGAGCGUUGUCCGGAAUCAUUGGGCGUAAAGGGCGCGUAGGUGGCCUGCUAAGCGUGCGGUGAAAGUCGGGGGCUCAACCCCCGAUCGGCCGUGCGAACUGGGAGGCUUGAGCACUGUAGAGGCAGGCGGAAUUCCGGGUGUAGCGGUGGAAUGCGUAGGAGAUCCGGAAGAACACCGGAGGCGAAGGCGGCUUGCUGGGCGUGAUCUGACGCUGAGGCGCGAAAGCGUGGGGAGCGAACAGG
Molecule: ribosomal RNA, 254 nt
Filed under: uncultured bacterium
Lineage: Bacteria
Description: partial 16S ribosomal RNA
Rfam family: Bacterial small subunit ribosomal RNA
Source: RNAcentral